AUGAUUUUAUUGAUUUCCAAUCAACAACUAUUAUGCAUUUAGCUAAAGAGGUGUCUUACAAACAGAUUAUUAACGAAAAAUCAUUGUGCAUUUCUCAGCCAGCAGUCUGACAGCAAUAGUCCCAGAGCCACCUGGUGUGGGGGAAAGGAAGAAGCAAGUUAGAAAGCUCCCGGCUGGGGAUGGGACAGUUGUAGAAAACAUAUGGUUGUUUGUGUGAAGUUAGUGACAGCUGUCUUUCGUCACUUAGAAGAUUACACACCCCCCCCCCCGAUCUUACCGUCCCUUUACAAAUGGGAGUGGCGCAGAACAGGGAUGGUGGGAGUGAUGUUGAGGGGCAGUGGGGUUAGGUCCAGGCUACGGAAGGGAACAGAACACAGUUAUAGAAUGCUUUGGUGGUUUGGGGAAAAGUUACUCGCUGGAGUCCUUUUUCCCAUUGAAGAUUACAACAUUUUUACCACCUACAUUCCUGGUGUCUGGCCUCUCCCUGCAUUGAGCCAUGGUGCACAAGCCAGCGGAAAUCGGGGGAAGAAGAAUCAAGUCUGGUGUUAGGAUAAACACAGUGCUGUGUUCCUUUGCAGUGGAGAGCUUGUAGUGGUUACCUGAAACCACACAGAAACAGAGUUGCAAUGUGGCUCUUUUUUUUUCCCCCUUCCAUCACCAUUUCAUCAUUGUUAGGCAGGCACUGUCAGUGACUUCAAAAUUGGCAGUCAUGCCUAUUGGUUAGAACAGGAGUUUGUAGUCAGAAAUCCGAGCCAAAGUCAGGAAUUGGAGCUGAGAGUCAGGACCAGGUUUCUUGGAGUGAGCUAAGGCUGCAUCGAAGGCUGAAGCAGGGCUCGGUCAAGGCAGGAGCAGGCUGGGAACAGGUAUGCACAGGAGCUGUUGCAGCUGUGGGCGAAUACUUUGAGCAGCCAUUGAGCUGCUGCUUCUGGGCUUAAAAGCCAGUCUGCUGACUCUUGCCACCAGUCAGGAGAUGUAGCCAAUCAGGUAGCCUACUACAGGACUGCUGGGCUCAUUAGGUUAUCCAGAGACUGCAGGCCCUGCUUCCUGACAGUAUCCCCUGGUGCCUCCUGGGGGCCUGGUUUCUUGGGGAAUUUAUGAUGGUACUCUUGCAAUAGGUGCGGAGUGUGGAUGUUCUCUAGCAGUUCCCAGGAUGUCUCCUCCAGACUGUAGCAUUUCCAGUCCACUAGGUACUGGAGCCUUUCCCUAACUCACCAAGAGUUGAGGAUUUUAUUAAUCAAUCUCUCCUCCUGUCCGCAAACUGUUGUGUGGUGCUGGCAUGUUGAAGCGAUUUAGGUAUGGGUCAUCAGUGCAGGGCUUUAAAAGUGAAAUAUGAAAGACGGGAUUGAUCUCAAGGACUUGGGAUGCUGUAACCUGAAAGCUACUGGCUUUACCUGUUCUAUAAUCUUGAAGGGGCCCAGGUAUUGGUAGCUUAGUUUGGUGGAUGGGCAGGUCAAUUUAAGAUUCUGGGCAGAGAGCCGCACGUGGGCACCUGUAGCCAGAUUGGGGGGCAGCCUGGUAUACUUGGGGUGCAUGAUGUUUAUAGACUUCUUUGGAGAGACUGCAAGUAUUCCUUGAGCUCCUGGUGCACCUGGUGUAGGUGGGAAGCUAAAUCUGCAGCAGCUGGUACUGGAGCGCUGAAGGUGAAAGCCAUAGUUUGCAAAGUGGGCUACUUUGGGUUGAAAUAUGGACUGCAUUGUUAUAUGCAGAGUCGGCACAGCAUAGCAGGGAAAGCCAGACAUUCUGGUGGCAACUCAAAAGCAGCAAAGAUAUUGCUCCUGGAUUUGAUUGACUCUCUGCCCAUUAGUCUGCAGGUGAUUGGCAUCAAGCCCAUUACAUCGUCCACCUAAGAGUCUGAGAAAUUCCCACCAGAAUCAGGAAAUGAACUGGGGACCCCAGCCCAAUACAGUGCCCGUCAGUAACCCAUGAUUGCGGAAGCCAUCUUCCAAGAAGGGCUGAUGAAGCAUCUCAUCUUUGUCAGGAGGUUGAUGACAACCAAGAUUGCUGAGUGUCCCUAGGAGCGUGGCAGUUCUACAAUGAAGUCCAUUGAUAUAUAGUAGACCAUGGCUGUAGAGGAGCCUCACCAAGUUCUAAGUUCCACAGAGGUCCAAUUUUGUGAAGACCCCUUGGUGAAGCAGAGUCUUUUGAGCAGCUUGUUAAAUAAGUCGUAAAGGACCUUUGGUGCCCAAGAGGUAAGCCAUUCCACCAGGAGUGUAGGAGCAGUAACCCAGAGAUGGUAGAGGCAGACAGAGAAGGACCAGGGGAAGAGCUACUCAUAGAGAUGGACAGGAGGAACCAGGAACAGUUUAAAUUCCUCAGAGCACAGGAGGAUUGGGCUCUUCAGCAGGAGACAUUGAUGAGCCAGUUCCUGCAACUGGAGGCACUUCAUAGGGAAUGGGAGCAUUCCCUAAUGGAGAGACUCUUUGUACUGGUGGCCAAAUGAGUUCAGGGUCUGCCUGCUGCUGAAGCCACUGAACCUCCAGCUAUCGCCACCACCUCUUCCUCUGGCUGCAGCUAGAGGAUCCUCUUUUAAGGACCUCCCUGAGUGAUUGGGUAGAGAGCCUGCAGGACUCCUGGGACCUACCCCUCGCUCAAAACCCUUUUUAGGGAGACCUCUUGUUCUCUUCCUGGGCGGUGAACCUAUGGGAGUCCUAAAGCCCCACCAAGUGCCACCCCAAACCCCAUGCAGGAGACCUCUCCUGUUUUCCCCAAGAGAGAUUUUCCCAUCAUUCCCCCUUGUCGGGAGGAGAGCAAGGAGAAAGGUGCAGAGAUUGCAAAGUUUAGUCGGUGCUCACAAAUUCAUUCCUUUAAUGUUUUAAAGAUCGUUAGCUGACCUUUCUUUUUUUUAAAUAUUUUAAUUACAUGUUCCACAUAGUACUUUUUAGUAACUGUUAUUGUUUCCUCGGCUUGCAUGUGGCCCCUCUCUCUUAAAUAUAAUCAACAGAAGAUGUUUUCAGGUUCGGGAUUAGGCCCCACAAUUCACAGCACUUGAAAUUGAAUGACGUAUUACUCUGUUGCCAUGAUAUUGCAAAUACUUUUCUGUCUGUCCCAAACCACACGACCUACUCAGGUUCAGAAAUGUCCCAAAGAUAGUCAGGAGGGAUGGGGAAAGUGUAGUACGUAACACUCAUUUACAGAAAGCACUAUUGGUUUAACAACACAGUAGAACUCUAGAUAAACAUCUGUAUGGCUUAGUUCACAUGCAGAAAUCAAAAUUCCAGUAACAAUACAGCAAUGACAGCAUCUGCCACUACCCUAUCCAUAAGUGGCCCCUCCCUUCGCCCCCAAAACCUUGACCAGUUGCAGUCAUUAGCACCAUUAACAGCAAAUAAUUAAAAGAAGAGAAUGGCUGCAUAUUCCACUCCUCCUCCCCUCAGGCCUUGCAAAUGUUGAUAGGGUCAUUAACAGAGAUUGAGUGCUCUUAAUAACAGAAAUUUGUAAACAAGUGUGACUAGUGAAGACAAAAACAUUUUACAAUGACUGCAUUACAACUUGGCCAUAGCACAGCACAGACCCAACCCUAAGGUGAAGUGGAGGUGCCCUGUUGCAAUUAUCAUUAAUGUAUGCAAUGUCACAGUAAUGAGCGGCUAAAAUGGGGUUCUCACAACAAAUAUUUUGGUGGCCUCAGAGUGUGGCCAGCAAUUUUUGCUGGUGGUCGCUCUGACAAUUUUUCCUAAAAUGCCUAAUUAACUUUAGGAAAAACAAAUAAAUAUGCACAUAUCGAUGUCCAAAUCAUUGUAAUUUAUUUAUAAAGUUUUUUUUGCAAACUCAAUAAAAAUAAUGUACAGUU
Molecule: long non-coding RNA, 3787 nt
Organism: Gopherus flavomarginatus (Mexican gopher tortoise)
Lineage: Eukaryota; Metazoa; Chordata; Testudines; Testudinidae
Exons: 3
Source: RefSeq, a predicted model, not a curated record